GUCCCCUUCGUCUAGUGGCCUAGGACACCGCCCUUUCAUGGCGGUAACAGGGGUUCAAACCCCCUAGGGGACG
RNAcentral lists this transfer RNA (73 nucleotides) under Candidatus Doolittlea endobia. It matches the Rfam family "tRNA". Rfam says of the family: Transfer RNA (tRNA) molecules are approximately 80 nucleotides in length. Their secondary structure includes four short double-helical elements and three loops (D, anti-codon, and T loops). The record is from Rfam by way of RNAcentral. Lineage: Bacteria; Pseudomonadati; Pseudomonadota; Gammaproteobacteria; Enterobacterales; Enterobacteriaceae.